This 1238-nucleotide long non-coding RNA is filed under the name Fragaria vesca (wild strawberry). RNAcentral describes it as "long non-coding RNA (FVES_LNC004964)". The record is from RNAcentral. Lineage: Eukaryota; Viridiplantae; Streptophyta; Magnoliopsida; Rosales; Rosaceae.
ACCCUUGUGAGACUUUCGAGCCAUAUAUAUGUGCCUUUUCUUUGGAGAGUUUACUCUAUCUAUUCUUUGAUAUAUAUGACCUCAUUAUACAUUACUUGAUCAAUUUAUAUGCCAUAGAGAUUCAAUGAACUAGAGAUUGCUAGAACUUGCUUAUGAAACUUUCAAAACUUUUUAUCAUAACUUGCUUUGAUUUUGAAUAGGAUUGUGGAUCUUUCUUAGGACUAUCACCACUUUAUCCAAAUAGCCAUAUAUCCCUAUUUUGAGCCCUGUUUGGGACCCCUUUAGUCUGAACCCCCUAGAGCCUACGUUAUGCCUUUCUUGUUAACCUAAAUUAUCCCUUGCCUAGUAUAGAAUUCCUCUACCUUGUCUCGAGCUUGGCAGAGCUAUCUUUUUGUGGUGAUUUGAGGUGAUGAUUCAAUACAAGUGUAGGGUUGUUCUAAGGAGUUUAGUUGCCGAGAUACACAUGAGAAAAGAAAAAGAAAAAAAUUGCUCUCGGAAUGAAAAAAAAGAGUAUGAACCGAGAGAAAGUAAAAAAAAAAAAAAAAAGUUUCGAAUUGAUUUUAAAUGAAGAUGUCUCGGCCUAGAUGAAGUUUUUGUGAAUUUGGAGUUGUGAUUCGUUUGUUGAAGGCUCAAUAUGUUAUACUUUUAGCCUUUGUUCGUUUUCACAAUGUUUAAAGUGAAGGAUGGGUCCAACAUGAUGAUAUUUGGCCCUUGGUGUAUGGUGACAUAAGGUGGAUGUUCUUGCUCUGCUAAGUCUUGAGGAUGACCUUUGUGAUUCCUUUACUUUGAAAAUUUUUCCUUGCCGAGCCUAACCAACCUAUUUUCUAAAGAUCCGCAUGAUUCUUAAGAUAAAUAAACUUUGAUCUGUGGAGUCUGUUUCAUGAGUAAGCAUAUGGUUGUGGUUCAUUUGUGCAUAUGAUUGGUAUCUUUCAUGAGGUUUUCGAAUUCACUAUGUUCUUUAUAACUCUUGUGUGUGAAAAGCUUUUAAGCAUAUGCCAUGUUCUUGAGAGAAAAAAUUCGGAGUGCAUAUCCUUUGUGAGUUGAAUUUGAACUUGUUUGGAACGUGUCGAGCUUAAUUUCACCUUUGUUUCUGCCAUGUCUUACUUGUUACAUCGAAAUCUCAUGUUUAUUAACCAUUGAAUUCAUCUUUCAAUUUUGAUUCUUGUGCUAUUCUUGAUGCUAUGAAUUUGAAAGUCUCUGAGACAAUUUCGUUGAAGGCAUUAGAUUGAGUCAUUGUA